AUUGAACGCUGGCGGCGUGCCUAACACAUGCAAGUCGAGCGGUAACAGGUGUAGCAAUACAUGCUGACGAGCGGCGAACGGGUGAGUAAUGCUUCGGAAUCUGCCCAUGUAGUGGGGAAUAACCAGCCGAAAGGUUGGCUAAUACCGCAUACGACCUACGGGUGAAAGCAGGGGAUCGCAAGACCUUGCGCUAUUGGAUGAGCCGAAGUCGGAUAGCUAGUUGGUAGGGUAACGGCCUACCAAGGCGACGAUCCGUAGCUGGUCUGAGAGGACGACCAGCCACACUGGGACUGAGACACGGCCCAGACUCCUACGGGAGGCAGCAGUGGGGAAUAUU
Molecule: ribosomal RNA, 337 nt
Filed under: uncultured bacterium
Lineage: Bacteria
Description: bacterial SSU rRNA
Rfam family: Bacterial small subunit ribosomal RNA
Source: RNAcentral